UCUAAUAUGGCAGAUAAGUGCACUGGAUUUAAGCUCCAUAUAUAAAGGGCUAUCCUUUUGUUAGAA
This 66-nucleotide transfer RNA is filed under the name Doddsia occidentalis. RNAcentral describes it as "tRNA-Leu". The record is from RNAcentral. Lineage: Eukaryota; Metazoa; Arthropoda; Insecta; Plecoptera; Taeniopterygidae.